UAUGUGAAAGACGGGAGCUUGGAGUAAGCCAGGCUGAGAGGGCGGAGCACUCUGCCGCCGACCGGUUAACCUGAUCUGGGUAAUGCCAGCGUAGGGAUGGGUUGGAACCGCUUC
RNAcentral lists this non-coding RNA (114 nucleotides) under Thermoactinomyces vulgaris. RNAcentral's name for it is "TPP sequence". It matches the Rfam family "TPP riboswitch aptamer (THI element)". Rfam says of the family: Vitamin B(1) in its active form thiamin pyrophosphate (TPP) is an essential coenzyme that is synthesised by coupling of pyrimidine and thiazole moieties in bacteria. The previously detected thiamin-regulatory element, thi box was extended, resulting in a new, highly conserved RNA secondary structure, the THI element, which is widely distributed in eubacteria and also occurs in some archaea. Analysis of operon structures identified a large number of new candidate thiamin-regulated genes, mostly transporters, in various prokaryotic organisms. Lineage: Bacteria; Bacillati; Bacillota; Bacilli; Caryophanales; Thermoactinomycetaceae. The record is from RNAcentral. RNAcentral also lists the same sequence under 1 other name.